This 77-nucleotide transfer RNA is filed under the name Rhodobacter sp. Its description in RNAcentral is "tRNA-Pro". It matches the Rfam family "tRNA". From Rfam's summary of the family: Transfer RNA (tRNA) molecules are approximately 80 nucleotides in length. Lineage: Bacteria; Pseudomonadati; Pseudomonadota; Alphaproteobacteria; Rhodobacterales. The record is from RNAcentral.
CGGGCUAUGGCGCAGCCUGGUAGCGCGUCCGUCUGGGGGACGGAAGGCCGUGAGUUCGAAUCUCGCUGGCCCGACCA